This is a long non-coding RNA of Salvelinus namaycush (lake trout), 1223 nucleotides long. RefSeq lists it as uncharacterized. The record is from RefSeq and is a predicted model, not a curated record. The transcript has 5 exons. NCBI's taxonomy places the organism in Eukaryota, Metazoa, Chordata, Actinopteri, Salmoniformes, Salmonidae.
UUGACUCCUGAUCACACAGACCAGAUCCAGAAUCUUGUCUUGACUCCUGAUCACACAGACCAGCUCCAGCAUCUUGUCUUGACUCCUGUUCACACAGACCAGCUCCAGCAUCUUGUCUUGACUCCUGUUCACACAGACCAGCUCCAGCAUCUUGUCUUGACUCCUGAUCACACAGACCAGCUCCAGCAUCUUGUCUUGACUCCUGAUCACGCAGACCAGCCCCAGCAUCUUGUUACUGAAGCUCAACAGAACCUACAGAAUCUACUUGUGAAUCCAGUCUAAAUUCCUGUCAAUCAUGAGGUCCUUGGCUGUAGCUGUAACCCUGUGUGCACUGCUGCCACUUUUCCAUGCUGGCUGCUGGAUUGAACCAGCUAAACCAGGCAUGAGGCAGUGUCUUUACGACAAGGAUGGGACGUGGCAUGAUAUCGGGUCCCGCUGGAGGACCAGUGAUUGCAUGAACUGCUAUUGUCAAGCCAACGGGGACAUGUCAUGCUGCCAGGCGUAUUCUGAGCCCACAAGAUUUCCUGAUGAUUGCAUGAAGGAGUUUGACCAAAAGGCAUGUAAAUACAACGUGUUCAAGAAGAAUGAUCGCUCCAUUCCAUGUCCUAUCUACGGUGGUAAGGGGAAGUGAUGGGUUUUCUUCCCCCUGCUCUCAAUAAACAGGGAAUGAAGGAUGAAAGGGAAAAGUACAGUAAUUGUUUUAUAGAUUUAAUUGACAUAAUUGUUAGCUUAGCUCUGCCAUACUGUCUGGUAACUUUCUGUAACUGUAAUGAUUGAAAAGCCAUACUGUAAUAUGUCUAUCAUUGAAGAUCUGUUAUCAUCUGUGCUGACUGUGUCAUGAGAAGAACCUGGGUUCAAAUACUAUCUGAAACUGUGAGCGUUUGAUCUGUCCUGCCUGGAGUGCCAGAUGGGUGGGGUUUGCUAUUUUGGGACAAUUCUAUUGGUUCAUUAAGCCAGUGUUUCCCGACCCUGGUCCUCGAGUAUCCCCAACAGUACACAUGUUUACUGUAAACCAGGACAAGCACACUUGAUUCAACUUGUUGACUAAUCAUAAAGCCUUCAAUGAGUUGAAUGAGGUGUGUUUGUCCAGGGCUACAGUGUAAAUGUGUUCUGUUCGGGGUUCUGGAGGACCAGGGUUGGGCUGUUCGGGGUACUGGAGGACCAGGGGUGGGCUGUUCGGGGUUCUGGAGGACCAGGGUUGGGCUGUUUGGGGUUCUGGAGGA